UGGAUGAUGUGGAUUAAUUCGAUGCAACGCGAAAACCUUACCUACCCUUGACAUGUCUGGAACCUCGCUGAGAGGCGAGGGUGCCUUCGGGAGCCAGAACACAGGUGCUGCAUGGGCUGUCAUCAGCUCGUGUCGUGAGAUGUUGGGUUAAGUCCCGCAACGAGCGCAACCCUUGUCAUUAGUUGCCAUCAUUUAGUUGGGCACUCUAAUGAGACUGCCGGUGACAAACCGGAGGAAGGUGGGGAUGACGUCAAGUCCUCAUGGCCCUUAUGGGUAGGGCUUCACACGUCAUACAAUGGUCGGUACAGAGGGUUGCCAAGCCGCGAGGUGGAGCCAAUCCCUUAAAGCCGAUCGUAGUCCGGAUCGUAGUCUGCAACUCGACUACGUGAAGUCGGAAUCGCUAGUAAUCGCAGAUCAGCAUGCUGCGGUGAAUACGUUCCCGGGUCCU
Molecule: ribosomal RNA, 448 nt
Filed under: uncultured Thauera sp.
Lineage: Bacteria; Pseudomonadati; Pseudomonadota; Betaproteobacteria; Rhodocyclales; Zoogloeaceae
Description: bacterial SSU rRNA
Rfam family: Bacterial small subunit ribosomal RNA
Source: RNAcentral